This 63-nucleotide transfer RNA is filed under the name Mileewa sharpa. RNAcentral describes it as "tRNA-Arg". Lineage: Eukaryota; Metazoa; Arthropoda; Insecta; Hemiptera; Cicadellidae. The record is from RNAcentral.
UAACAAAGAAGUAAAAAUACAUUUAAUUUCGACUUAAAAAUAGGGAAUUUAUCCUCAUGUUUU